AUUGAACGCUGGCGGCAUGCCUUACACAUGCAAGUCGAACGGCAGCACGGGUGCUUGCACCUGGUGGCGAGUGGCGAACGGGUGAGUAAUACAUCGGAACGUACCUUAUCGUGGGGGAUAACGCAGCGAAAGUUGCGCUAAUACCGCAUACGCCCUGAGGGGGAAAGCGGGGGACCGUAAGGCCUCGCGCGAUUAGAGCGGCCGAUGUCUGAUUAGCUUGUUGGUGGGGUAAAAGCCCACCAAGGCGACGAUCAGUAGCUGGUCUGAGAGGACGAUCAGCCACACUGGGACUGAGACACGGCCCAGACUCCUACGGGAGGCAGCAGUGGGGAAUUUUGGACAAUGGGGGCAACCCUGAUCCAGCAAUGCCGCGUGAGUGAAGAAGGCCUUCGGGUUGUAAAGCUCUUUUGUCAGGGAAGAAACACCGGCUCUAACACAGUCCGGGAAUGACGGUACCUGAAGAAUAAGCACCGGCUAACUACGUGCCAGCAGCCGCCGUAA
RNAcentral lists this ribosomal RNA (501 nucleotides) under uncultured bacterium. RNAcentral's name for it is "partial 16S ribosomal RNA". It matches the Rfam family "Bacterial small subunit ribosomal RNA", at positions 30 to 523 of the family's 1533-position model. The record is from RNAcentral.